UACGGGGGGGGCAAGCGUUGUUCGGAAUUACUGGGCGUAAAGGGCUCGUAGGCGGCCAACUAAGUCGGACGUGAAAUCCCCAGGCUCAACCUGGGAACUGCGUCCGAUACUGGAUGGCUUGAAUCCGGGAGAGGGAUGCAGAAUUCCAGGUGUAGCGGUGAAAUGCGUAGAUAUCUGGAGGAAUACCGGUGGCGAAGGCGGCAUCCUGGACCGACACUGACGCUGAGGCGCGAAAGCUAGGGUAGCAAACGGG
This 253-nucleotide ribosomal RNA is filed under the name uncultured bacterium. Its description in RNAcentral is "partial 16S ribosomal RNA". It matches the Rfam family "Bacterial small subunit ribosomal RNA", at positions 524 to 776 of the family's 1533-position model. The record is from RNAcentral.